UCGUAGGAGGCCUGAGGAGGGAUCAUUA
Molecule: ribosomal RNA, 28 nt
Filed under: uncultured Helotiales
Lineage: Eukaryota; Fungi; Ascomycota; Leotiomycetes; Helotiales
Description: partial 18S ribosomal RNA
Source: RNAcentral